This 810-nucleotide ribosomal RNA is filed under the name uncultured bacterium. Its description in RNAcentral is "bacterial SSU rRNA". It matches the Rfam family "Bacterial small subunit ribosomal RNA", at positions 8 to 796 of the family's 1533-position model. The record is from RNAcentral.
AGAGUUUGAUCCUGGCUCAGAACGAACGCUGGCGGCGUGGAUAAGACAUGCAAGUCGGACGAGACUUUUCGCUGUAGCAAUACGGUGGAAAGUCUAGUGGCGAACGGGUGCUUAACACGUGGGCAACCUGCCGAGAAGUGGGGGAUAGCUCGCCGAAAGGCGAAUUAAUACCGCAUGUGAUUAGAGUGGACAUCCAUUCGAAAUUAAAGUCGGGGCAACCUGACGCUUUUUGUGGGGCCCGCGGCCUAUCAGCUAGUUGGUGAGGUAACGGCUCACCAAGGCUUUGACGGGUAGCUGGUCUGAGAGGACGACCAGCCACACUGGGACUGAGACACGGCCCAGACACCUACGGGUGGCAGCAGUCGAGAAUUUUUCUCAAUGGGGGAAACCCUGAAGGAGCGACGCCGCGUGGAGGAUGAAGGUCUUCGGAUUGUAAACUCCUGUCAUUGGGGAACAAUGCGUGACGGUUAACUGCCGUUGCGUUGAUAGUACUCGAAGAGGAAGAGACGGCUAACUCUGUGCCAGCAGCCGCGGUAAUACAGAGGUCUCAAGCGUUGUUCGGAUUCAUUGGGCGUAAAGGGUGCGUAGGCGGCGCGGUAAGUCGGGUGUGAAAUCUUGGAGCUUAACUCCGAAACUGCAUUCGAUACUGCCGUGCUUGAGGACUGGAGAGGAGACUGGAAUUUACGGUGUAGCGGUGAAAUGCGUAGAUAUCGUAAGGAAGACCAGUGGCGAAGGCGGGCCUCUGGACAGUUCCUGACGCUGAGGCACGAAGGUCAGGGGAGCAAACGGGAUUAGAUACCCUAGUAGUCC